GGGUCAGCGAGAAGAAGUCAGAGGGAAGUGAGGACUGACGCAAGGGGAGCAAGACGCAGGAAAUUGGGGGCAGCGUGGAAGGCUGCUUUGAAAGCAGCAUGAGAAAAGGAAAGAGGGCAGAAGCACAGAGGCAGAGAGCAAAGCUUCACUUCCUUCUCUCUCGGUUAAAUCUUUCCAAACUUAUAUUUUAUUUCUGUUUUAAUAAUGUGUAACUAAAUUUAUUUUGGCUAGAGGUUAAUUCAAAGCCAUGAAUAUAUUUGUAAUAUGAAUUGAUUACCUUCAGUUGUGAUUUCUG
Molecule: long non-coding RNA, 295 nt
Filed under: Malus domestica (apple)
Lineage: Eukaryota; Viridiplantae; Streptophyta; Magnoliopsida; Rosales; Rosaceae
Description: long non-coding RNA (MDOM_LNC015281)
Source: RNAcentral